RNAcentral lists this ribosomal RNA (309 nucleotides) under uncultured bacterium. Its description in RNAcentral is "bacterial SSU rRNA". It matches the Rfam family "Bacterial small subunit ribosomal RNA", at positions 1062 to 1372 of the family's 1533-position model. The record is from RNAcentral.
GUGUCGUGAGAUGUUGGGUUAAGUCCCGCAACGAGCGCAACCCUUAUCCCCAGUUGCCAUCAUUCAGUUGGGCACUCUGGUGAAACCGCCUCGGAUAACGGGGAGGAAGGUGGGGAUGACGUCAAGUCCUCAUGGCCUUUAUGUCCAGGGCUACACACGUGCUACAAUGGCCGGUACAAACCGUCGCAAACCCGCGAGGGGGAGCUAAUCGGAAAAAGCCGGCCUCAGUUCGGAUUAGAGUCUGCAACUCGACUCUAUGAAGCUGGAAUCGCUAGUAAUCGCGGAUCAGAAUGCCGCGGUGAAUACGUU